This 75-nucleotide transfer RNA is filed under the name Candidatus Cloacimonadota bacterium. Its description in RNAcentral is "tRNA-Lys". It matches the Rfam family "tRNA". Rfam says of the family: Transfer RNA (tRNA) molecules are approximately 80 nucleotides in length. Their secondary structure includes four short double-helical elements and three loops (D, anti-codon, and T loops). The record is from RNAcentral. Lineage: Bacteria; Pseudomonadati; Candidatus Cloacimonadota.
GGUCCUGUAACUCAGCGGUAGAGUAUCUGCCUUUUAAGCAGAGAGUCCCGCGUUCAAAUCGCGGCAGGAUCACCA